RNAcentral lists this unclassified non-coding RNA (237 nucleotides) under Hevea brasiliensis (rubber tree). Lineage: Eukaryota; Viridiplantae; Streptophyta; Magnoliopsida; Malpighiales; Euphorbiaceae. The record is from RNAcentral.
GUCUUUCUCAAGAUAUAUGAAUCCGUUGACAAUAGCUUCUCCUGAGAGCACAAUUACACACAGCAGAAAUGAGAUUUUCAAUUAGAACAAAAUAAAUAUAACUAGAAUAAAGAACGAGAGAGAGAGAGUGCUCAUAAUGCAUACUCGAUCAAAAUAAACUAUGGAAGUUAUAAGAACUAAUAUGAAGAAUUAUCAGAGUUUUAACUAAAUUUCAAAUUAAAAAAAAAAAUGCAUUUA